This 202-nucleotide long non-coding RNA is filed under the name Mytilus galloprovincialis (Mediterranean mussel). Lineage: Eukaryota; Metazoa; Mollusca; Bivalvia; Mytilida; Mytilidae. The record is from RNAcentral.
GGUGGCUGGGGUGUCUUCCUCCAUCUUGGAUUUUGAAGUAACAGAUAAUAAUUGGUUUAGAUCUUUGAUGAAAUAUGCAAAUUUUGAGAGUAGCAUUUAAUUCAUGUGCAUGACUUGUCCUGUUAUUAUAGAACAUUAUGUGUUUUAUAAUAUUUACAAUCUUUUCUUUUGAUUAAUUUUUUUUCUUCAAAUUUGACACAUG